GUGCUGCUGACCUCUGAGCCCAAGUAAGACUAGAACAAUUUCCCAGGCCACUCCUGACCUCACUGCAUACAGGUAAAGCUCCAGAUCCUUAUGAAUGGCUGGGAAUUCACUCAUUCUGCUGGAGCAGGAAGGCUUUAAAAAUACAAAAACCUCAGUGAAGCAUCAGACACACCACAAAUGCUAUGCUUCUCCAGCUCUGGACCAUCCAGGGUGACUCAUUGCAGAGCCUCAUGGCCUGCGCAGUCCCUACGUGUUCUCUCCAUGGCUUCAUUUCAGGAGAGAGUCCACAGCUCUUCACACCAAUCGUUUUAACUUACUUCUUGGGAGAUUGCAGAUGCUGCUUUCAGGCUCCUGUGUGAUAUAUGGCCUCAAUCUGACCCCAUCUAAGACUACCAGAAAAGCAUUUGGGAGAAAUGUCUUGCUCCGCUCACUGCACCACUGGCUUCCUAUGAAAUGCUAUAUCGAUAGCUCUACCUCUCCCCUUUGCCUGUUUAGGUGGUAUGAACUUGCAGAAUCUACUUGGACUGCCAGGGCUACAAGCAGCACGCUCUCCAUCUGGCUUCAGAGCUAAGACAAAGCUUCACUACUGGACCAACAGAGAUAUAUUUGGGUGAAGGAAAGAGCACAAAGUAUGCAAGAGGAUCCUGGCUACCUCAAGCUCCUCAGGCGCACAAGGCUGAGAGAAAGGUCCCUAGGCCCCCACUGGGAGAUGCCUUUCACUCUCCUUACAGCACAGUCAGAGCAACCAAGAUACUUCUGCGGAAGCCUCAGUGGAGUCAGU
This 781-nucleotide long non-coding RNA is filed under the name Struthio camelus australis. RNAcentral describes it as "lncRNA (ENSSCUG00000011994.1)". The record is from RNAcentral. Lineage: Eukaryota; Metazoa; Chordata; Aves; Struthioniformes; Struthionidae.